Molecule: ribosomal RNA, 253 nt
Filed under: uncultured bacterium
Lineage: Bacteria
Description: partial 16S ribosomal RNA
Rfam family: Bacterial small subunit ribosomal RNA
Source: RNAcentral
UACGUAGGGGGCAAGCGUUGUCCGGAAUCAUUGGGCGUAAAGCGCGUGUAGGCGGUCCGAUAAGUUCGCUGUGAAAGUCGGGGGCUUAACCCUCGGAUGCCGGUGAAUACUGUCGGGCUUGAGUACGGAAGAGGCGAGUGGAAUUCCUUGUGUAGCGGUGAAAUGCGCAGAUAUCAGGAGGAACACCAAUUGCGAAGGCAGCUCGCUGGGACGUUACUGACGCUGAGACGCGAAAGCGUGGGGAGCAAACAGG